Lutzomyia longipalpis is the source of this 111-nucleotide small nuclear RNA. The record is from RefSeq and is a predicted model, not a curated record. NCBI's taxonomy places the organism in Eukaryota, Metazoa, Arthropoda, Insecta, Diptera, Psychodidae.
GUUCUUGCUUCAGCAGAACAUAUUCUAAAAUUGGAACGAUAUAGAGAAGAUUAUCAUAGUCCCUGCGCAAGGAUUAGCUGAGACUCUUUAGAAUGGGUGAGUUGAGUAUUU